GGGCCUGUAGCUCAGGGGAUAGAGCAGCGGUUUCCGGGGCCGCGUGUCGGAGGUUCGAAUCCUUCCAGGCCCG
RNAcentral lists this transfer RNA (73 nucleotides) under Rubrobacter taiwanensis. It matches the Rfam family "tRNA". Rfam says of the family: Transfer RNA (tRNA) molecules are approximately 80 nucleotides in length. Their secondary structure includes four short double-helical elements and three loops (D, anti-codon, and T loops). Lineage: Bacteria; Bacillati; Actinomycetota; Rubrobacteria; Rubrobacterales; Rubrobacteraceae. RNAcentral also lists the same sequence under 2 other names. The record is from Rfam by way of RNAcentral.